UUUCAGUGGCUUUGAAACAAAUGUCCAACCACAUUUCUUGAUUUUCCUGCACAGAUGCCAGAAAGCCAUUGGAAAAGAAAUUGAACCCGUCAGUAUGAAAGUGAUUCAUUUGUAUUCACUGCCUCCCUGAGUUUGUGGACUUUGCAGUAAGCACCAAGGAAGGAGCACCAUGGAGGAAGAUAGAGAAGAACAGAGAAAUGCGAAUCCAUGCAUUGUGACAUGCCUUGAGAGACAUGGUGGAGAAGGAAAGGUGUUUUUCAUGCAUCUCAGAGAAUUCCGUGCCUCAGAUUUUGUAGGUAAGUCAUAUUUCACCAAAUGAAAUUUCCUUGAUAAUUCAUGGUCAAUUGUGUGGACAUAAUUUUCAUUUGUGUGACAACUGUGGGAGGUUCACAUUCCGGGAACCAGAGUUGGGGGUGGUGAGGAAGGGGUAGAAGUGGGAAUCUGGGAAUAGAGUUUGAUUUGGUGUUGUAGCCAUCCUGACACUUUCCACCCCUGAGCACUUAUUUUAUUUUAAAUCUCAAUGUCUCAUUCCAUUAGUAUUUUGAUUUUUUUAAAAGGUACAGACUCCUUAACCUAUUCUCCAUUUCAACGGUGUUCUCUUUGAGAACACAGAGCCAGCAAAUUACUUAAAACAGCAAAGUGUCAUGAUUCAAUAGUCAUAACUUUUCUUCCUAUUAAUAAUGGUUUCCCCCUGAAUCAUAUCUGCAUGUCAAUCACAUCAAUAGAUUAGAAAAAUGAUGUUUGGCAAUGUUACAGAACACAGACAUCUUGGAACCUGGUUAUUUUCUAUUUUUUAAACCUUUAAUACUGAGCUAAAAUCUAUAAUAAAUCUAAAAAAUAAUCAAUAAGAAUAUAUUACAUUCUUUUAAAAAUUUAGUGUAAAUCUUUUGGUCUUU
This 896-nucleotide long non-coding RNA is filed under the name Fukomys damarensis (Damara mole-rat). RNAcentral describes it as "lncRNA (ENSFDAG00000030291.1)". Lineage: Eukaryota; Metazoa; Chordata; Mammalia; Rodentia; Bathyergidae. The record is from RNAcentral.